Long non-coding RNA from Toxorhynchites rutilus septentrionalis, 2093 nucleotides. RefSeq lists it as uncharacterized. The record is from RefSeq and is a predicted model, not a curated record. NCBI's taxonomy places the organism in Eukaryota, Metazoa, Arthropoda, Insecta, Diptera, Culicidae. The transcript has 3 exons.
UAUGAUCAGCCGCGGCAUCAAGCGCGAGUUAGAGAGCGAAUUAACCGGGGCUUCGGAAAACGGAAGAGAUUUUUUACAGUUCAUCCAUCGCUUAGCCAAGGAACGAACGCUCCAGAAGUGCAAAGUAUGGUGUGCCCAGCAUUGCGGCGGCGGCAUUGCCAUUGAUCCGCGCGGGAUUCUCGGUUUCGGAUUGCAGUGAGUGAACGUGUGUGUUUGUGCGCGCGAGUGUGUGAUCUCCUUUGGGGUGUCCCGUAUUGUAAUUGCUCUUCUCUGAAUCCAUUUUUUCCGACCCGAGAUAUGAUCAUCACUUUUGAGGGCGGCAUUUCUCUCGCUUUUGGUGUGGCAUAGAGAGCAGUUUUUUUUUCUGCUGGCAGGAAUAAAGUGUCGAUUACCAAAAAUAUACAAGUGACGUCGGUGGCGGUGGUGGCGUCUGAAAAUCGAUGGUGUUUCGGUCGGAAAUAGCAACCCGAGUGGAUGGAAGGGGGAAAGGCAUCCGGCAAAGGGGUCCGGUAUGAGUGUGGCUGAAGCAGCAGCAGUGGUAGUCCACCUCGAAGUAUUUCUCGAAGCUGUUUACGUGUGGUUAAUGAGUUGUUGUGGCAAUACAUGCCCUCUGUGGGCGAUAAGCGCCAGAAUAAGUGCAAUCAAUUGAUACAACAAGCAGUACGUGGUUAUUUUAUUCAAUUCCGACAAAACAAGGUCAUGAUGUUACCAUGCUUUCGGGUGUGAUAUUGGGAAGGCAGCGAAAAAGAAAGUGUGAAUGUGUCAACGUGAAUUACGGCUCAAGUGUUAGCUUGCACUUGGUUCAAGAUCAGCGUGGGCGGAUCGAGAGACGGCGUGGUGGAGGCAAAGCAAUGAAAACCUUGACGACCCUCAACACACUUGAAGAGGAGCUGUGAUGACGACAUUUGGCGGUGCUCGGCGCGUUCGAAUCAAGUGAGUGGUCGAAAGCUAGCAAAAUAGAAUAGGUUACAGAAUUGCUUCUCUAACCAGGAAGUUUGAGAAGAAUAUAGCAUCAGAGUGUAAUUACAUUCAAGGUGGGUGUUACACCAGAAGAAAUUGUCAUCACUCAGGUUAAGAAUAGUUCUACGACAUCUGUGGAACAACAUACCAACAACAUCACCAGCGGGAAGUAAUGCGAGGAUCGUUCUGAUGUGUGUAUGCAGUAUAAAAACUGAUCCGUAAUUGACGACGUUGUUGUUAUUGUUGGCGGGAGGAGCUAUUGAUUUGAAGUGUGAGCGGUUUUCAUUCGAUGGAUUAUCCAAAUGGCUUACAUUUCGACGCAACAGGGCGUUAUUUCGCAAGGAUUGAGUGCUGGCAGUCUUCUUCUGUCAGCUUCUUCGAGUCACGUGCUGUUAACUCAUCGACAGAUUCAAUGGACUCCACGGUGAUGAAACAACCGAAGGUUGAAAACCUGUUUAAUGAAGAUUUGAGAAAAAAGAUUUGAGGUGUUGCUAUACUGCAAUAUGUAAAGGAUACAGAGGCUAUAGGUACAAAGGGUCUUUAAGGUACAAAGAGUGACAAUACCACUGUCACGUAAAAAAAAUUACUAAAUGUCAAUACAACAAUGUCACAAGGUCAAAAGUAAUUGUAGAAUAGCAAUGAUCUGACUAACUCACUCCACCAUCUACGUCGCAUAUAUUUCAUUCAAACUGACUGGAUGUUAAAUAAUUUGAUAGAGCGAAUUAUUGCAAAUAAUUUCGCGUUGCAUACAAAAUUCACGAGAACUAAACCUGGAAGAAAAUUUGCAUAACACAGAAUUUACUCUCGCAUUCGCUCGAAAAACAUAAUUCCUUUAUUUGUUAAAUUGUUUGCUUGUUUCACUAUCUCUACUCUUGGUGUUUUGAGUUAAAAAUUCGUCAUCUGAUUGUGUAGAUUAUAACAUUUACCAAGAGAACGAUUUUGCGUAACCUGCAUUAAAUUUCGUCGGGUGAAUACUACCGCUUGAUAAUCAUUUUUCCGGACGAAUUGUUUAUACAUAUCAUUCAAUAAAAGUGGUUAACAAAUGCCAAAUUUGCGGUGAAGGGUGUGUCACAUCAAAUUGCAUCACAGAAAAAACGCUGUAGAAAUUCGCCCAGUAGAUCGAUCCUUUUGAA